This is a non-coding RNA of Chelonoidis abingdonii (Abingdon island giant tortoise), 939 nucleotides long. Lineage: Eukaryota; Metazoa; Chordata; Testudines; Testudinidae. The record is from RefSeq and is a predicted model, not a curated record.
GCGCACUCGGCGGCGCAGGAGGCUCGCUGAGGAGGCGCAGGAGGAGGAGGAGGAGGGUCGGUCCCUCAGCGAGGAGAGAUGAUGAAGCUGCUGGCAUUGUGGUCUUCAGGUUCUCUCCCUCCACACCUAGAGAAUGCCUGAGUUAGAUAAGGAGAAAAAAGAGGACUUGGGAUGACAUGUUCAAUGAGAUCCUGCAAGCUCAUGUUGCAUUGGACAGUCAGCACAAGGCCUGGAGGAUGAACACUGAGGGCAGCCUGGAGAAGGAAAGACUGGAGAGGAGAAAAGUCUGGGAGUCCCAGCAGGAAAAGGAGAUGGAGAUGCACCAGGACAUAAUGAGUCUUGUCAGGCAGAAAAAACAGAUGUUGCAGAUCCUAGUGCAUCUGCAGGUUCAACAGUCCUGGCCUUGCCUUCCUCUGCAGCCCAUUGAGAACUCAAUAUUGGGACCUACCUAUACUCCCCUCAUUCUACAUGGCAUCAAGGGUCACUGCACUAUCCCUAGCGCUCCGGUCUGUGGGACAUUAAAGACAAUCACACCUUCCCAUACACUGACAUGUGAAACUCAAAGCUGGUGUAUGUGUAGCUGAAAUGGACAUGAAUAUUGGUCCCAGGCAGCCUUUUACUGUCUGUGUGCACACAUAGAGGUGAUGGAGAUGGUCAGCGAAGUUUUCCCAGGUGUCCUGAAUAUACACCUUGCAUAUCUGCUGCUCUAGACCUUGCUGCACAAGCUCUAUUAAGUACUUAAAAGAUUCCUGAGUCACUGAGAAGAACAAUGAGAAUUGUCUAAAACUGAUAUAGACCUUGUCCCUUCACAAGUAUUGUCUUCUUAUGCUCCAAUACAAAUGUACGAACUGGCAGAUUCUCACCAGCCCCCGGUGGUUCAGCAGACAGUCAUUAAUGCACUAAUUCUAAUAAAGGGGGUGAAUCAGUAUCUAAUUUAUC